AUUCUUUGUAAGAAUGAUGAACUGAGAGAGAGAAUGAAAUUAUAGAAAAGUGCCUGUAAGCUAGGUUUUGGAAAAAUUAGAAUAUUCUCAUUAGAUUUUGUAUGUAUUGACGAUUAGAAACACAUACAGAAUUUAUAUGUAAGAAAUAUUCUCUCUCUCAGAUCAUCAUUCUUGCAAAUUAAAU
This 184-nucleotide microRNA precursor is filed under the name Cajanus cajan (pigeon pea). Its description in RNAcentral is "miRNA gene-KK1_050604". Lineage: Eukaryota; Viridiplantae; Streptophyta; Magnoliopsida; Fabales; Fabaceae. The record is from RNAcentral.